RNAcentral lists this ribosomal RNA (469 nucleotides) under Micrococcineae bacterium CL5.22. RNAcentral describes it as "bacterial SSU rRNA". It matches the Rfam family "Bacterial small subunit ribosomal RNA", at positions 17 to 499 of the family's 1533-position model. Lineage: Bacteria; Bacillati; Actinomycetota; Actinomycetes; Micrococcales. The record is from RNAcentral.
CCCUGGCUCAGGAUGAACGCUGGCGGCGUGCUUAACACAUGCAAGUCGAACGAUGAUCCCAGCUUGCUGGGGGAUUAGUGGCGAACGGGUGAGUAACACGUGAGUAACCUGCCCUUAACUCUGGGAUAAGCCUGGGAAACUGGGUCUAAUACCGGAUAUGACUCCUCAUCGCAUGGUGGGGGGUGGAAAGCUUUAUUGUGGUUUUGGAUGGACUCGCGGCCUAUCAGCUUGUUGGUGAGGUAAUGGCUCACCAAGGCGACGACGGGUAGCCGGCCUGAGAGGGUGACCGGCCACACUGGGACUGAGACACGGCCCAGACUCCUACGGGAGGCAGCAGUGGGGAAUAUUGCACAAUGGGCGAAAGCCUGAUGCAGCGACGCCGCGUGAGGGAUGACGGCCUUCGGGUUGUAAACCUCUUUCAGUAGGGAAGAAGCGAAAGUGACGGUACCUGCAGAAGAAGCGCCGGCUA